This 227-nucleotide unclassified non-coding RNA is filed under the name plant metagenome. RNAcentral describes it as "partial contains small subunit ribosomal RNA and internal transcribed spacer 1". The stretch from base 1 to 46 matches the Rfam family "Eukaryotic small subunit ribosomal RNA", at positions 1786 to 1831 of the family's 1831-position model. The record is from RNAcentral.
AAGUCGUAACAAGGUUUCCGUAGGUGAACCUGCGGAAGGAUCAUUACAAGUGAGGCUACCGAACGCUGGAAACAGCGGUUAGGGGCUAUCACCCACCCGAUCGUUUACUAUCACUAUUGUUACCUUUGGCGGGCCGUGGCCUCCACUGCGGGCUCUGCUCGUGUGUGCCCGCCAGAGGACCAAACUCUGAAUGUUAGUGAUGUCUGAGUACUAUCUAAUAGUUAAAA